RNAcentral lists this ribosomal RNA (460 nucleotides) under uncultured bacterium. RNAcentral's name for it is "partial 16S ribosomal RNA". It matches the Rfam family "Bacterial small subunit ribosomal RNA", at positions 338 to 795 of the family's 1533-position model. The record is from RNAcentral.
CCUACGGGAGGCUGCAGUGGGGAAUAUUGGACAAUGGACGCGAGUCUGAACCAGCCAAGUAGCGUGAAGGAUGACUGCCCUACGGGUUGUAAACUUCUUUUAUAUGGGAAUAAAGUGAUGCACGUGUGCCUUUUUGUAUGUACUUUAUGAAUAAGGAUCGGCUAACUCCGUGCCAGCAGCCGCGGUAAUACGGAGGAUCCGAGCGUUAUCCGGAUUUAUUGGGUUUAAAGGGAGCGUAGAUGGGUUGUUAAGUCAGUUGUGAAAGUUUGCGGCUCAACCGUAAAAUUGCAGUUGAUACUGGCAGCCUUGAGUACAGUUGAGGUAGGCGGAAUUCGUGGUGUAGCGGUGAAAUGCUUAGAUAUCACGAAGAACUCCGAUUGCGAAGGCAGCCUACUAAACUGCCACUGACACUGAUGCUCGAAAGUGUGGGUAUCAAACAGGAUUAGAUACCCCAGUAGUC